RNAcentral lists this ribosomal RNA (314 nucleotides) under Galaesus hasticornis. RNAcentral describes it as "partial large subunit ribosomal RNA". The stretch from base 59 to 262 matches the Rfam family "Archaeal large subunit ribosomal RNA", at positions 1797 to 2106 of the family's 2987-position model. The record is from RNAcentral. Lineage: Eukaryota; Metazoa; Arthropoda; Insecta; Hemiptera; Coreidae.
UUUUUUUAUUUAAUUAUUUAUUUUAAGUAAUUAUGAUAGAAUUAGUAGUUUUGAAUAUUUAAAUAUAGGAACUCGGCAAAUUUAAUUCUCGCCUGUUUAACAAAAACAUGUCCUAUUGAUCUAUAAUUUUAGGUCUAACCUGCCCAAUGAAAUUAUUUGAAUGGCCGCAGUAUUUUGACUGUGCGAAGGUAGCAUAAUCAUUUGUCUUUUAAUUGAAGGCUCGUAUGAAUGGUUGGACGAGGAAUUAACUUUCUUUAUUUAAUAUUUAUGAAUUUGAUUUUUUAGUUAAAAAGCUUAAAUUUUUUUGCAAGACG